AAAAGAAAUUCGGUGCAGGAUGAGUCCGCGUCUGAUUAGCUAGUUGGAGGGGUAAAAGCCCACCAAGGCAACGAUCAGUAGCCGGCCUGAGAGGGCGACCGGCCACAUUGGGACUGAGACACGGCCCAAACUCCUACGGGAGGCAGCAGUGGGGAAUAUUGCACAAUGGGGGAAACCCUGAUGCAGCGACGCCGCGUGAGCGAGGAAGUAUUUCGGUAUGUAAAGCUCUAUCAGCAGGGACGAAAAAAGACGGUACCUGACUAAGAAGCCCCGGCUAACUACGUGCCAGCAGCCGCGGUAAUACGUAGGGGGCAAGCGUUAUCCGGAUUUACUGGGUGUAAAGGGAGCGUAGACGGCAAGGCAAGCCAGAAGUGAAAGGGCAGGGCUCAACCCUGUACAUGCUUUUGGAACUGUGGUGCUAGAGUGCAGGAGAGGUAAGUGGAAUUCCUAGUGUAGCGGUGAAAUGCGUAGAUAUUAGGAGGAACACCAGUGGCGAAGGCGGCUUACUGGACUGUAACUGACGUUGAGGCUCGAAAGCGUGGGGAGCAAACAGGAUUAGAUACCCUGGUAGUCCACGCUGUAAACGAUGA
RNAcentral lists this ribosomal RNA (590 nucleotides) under uncultured bacterium. RNAcentral's name for it is "bacterial SSU rRNA". It matches the Rfam family "Bacterial small subunit ribosomal RNA", at positions 202 to 812 of the family's 1533-position model. The record is from RNAcentral.